GCUUAAGGAGUGGUCGAGACUGAGGCGGGGUGGGAGGUUCAGGUUCCCGGGGCGCCUUCCCCAACCCGCCCCGCUUUCCCCGUCCCUCCACGCGCACCCUGCCUGUGGUUUCCGUGCGCCCCCGGCCUGAGGGCUCUGGGCGGCACCUUAACCCGGAGGGCCUGGAGGUCUGCACCCGACCGCCUUGUGCCAGGACGGUCAGGUCCACGCCCUCCCCCACCGUGGCUCCCUCCAUCUGCAGUAUCCCCCACCUCCAGCCCGUCCUGCCCUCCUGUUCUCCGUCUCGCUUCCCGUCGGUGCCUCCGGGAUCUCACAGCCCUCGCACCUCUUUUGUGACCCAGGCUGUUUUUCUGCACCCCCCUCUCCCCUGAGGGCACUGAGAUUGGGCCAUUGGCCUGAAGGUCUCUGGGAGCAGCACCCUUCCAGGGGAGGUGGGACGUCGAGAACUUCUCCCUAAGAGAUGCGGGGAAAUGGUGGGGCCUGAGAGUGCAAACACUGCAGAAAUGCGAAAAAUGUAGUGUUAACGGAAGAGUUUAGGUCCUGCCUCACUGUCCGGGAAACGCGUGCCCUCGGGGGAGCCUUUGCCAAGCCGGUUUUUCCCGAAGGUGACCAGAUGCUCCUGGGCCACUGCCUCUGAGACCUCAGGGAACGGAGAUUUUUGUGGACCCAGCUGCCUGGAGCUGCUUUCCUGUUCCGGCCGGAGGAGGAUUCUGUGACUUGAUGGGUGGGCCCUCUGCUGCUCUGGGUGUGGCUGCAUACACCCCGGGGGUCAACAGGGACGAGCGGUACAGCGGCUGGGUUGCUCUCUACCCGGUCUUCGUCCAAGCCCCUCCACAGCUGGUAAGAUCUCCGGAGCAGGACCUGCAAGCCCUCUUCAGAUCACCCCAGAACUUCCUGUCUAAAAACUGAAGCCUCUCACUGCCCAGGCAUGGCUUCUUGCUACCCUGCCCUCAGGCACAGUCCUGCACCCACCUGCGUCUGCUGUGCCAUGUCCAGGCCAGUCCCCCCCCACCACCAACACCUCUCUCUAUCUUCAUCCUCUUCCCAAUCUGGUCCUCCCACCGCUGUGGAAACCCCGUCUGCCCCCAAAGCCUAGCUUAAAAAUAAUUCCCUAGGGACCUGUGUCUCUCCCUGCCUCGGCCCCUCCUUCAUUCCUGGGUGCCUCCGGCUGUGCAGCAUUUGACACUGCAGCACCCCCCUUAAUUCGGAAGCAUGCUGUCUCCUGGACUGGUGAGUCUCCACACUAUCUGAGCCGUCUUCUCUGGAACUCUUGGCCUCUCAGUCCGUUCUGAGAAUACAGCCUUGGUAAGCACGGUGCCCACAUGAAUGUUUCCAGCAGCAGGAUUCAAAAUAGCCACAUGUCCAUCAACAGAUGAGUGGAUAAACAAAACAUGGUCCAGAAUAAUGGAAGAUUACUCAGCCCUAAAAAGAGACGAAGCUGGUGAACCUCGAGAACACGAGGCCGCGUGAACGAAGCCAGACACCGAGGACCACGUAGCGUGAGACUCUCAGUCUAUGAAAUGUGCGGAGUCGAUAAAUUCACAGAGACAGAAAGGAGAUUCACGGUUGCCAGGGGCUGGGGAGUGACAACAGAGGGAUGGGGGUGACUGUGAAAGGGUACGUGGUUUCUUUCCCAGAGGAUAAGAACGUUCUAACAUGGCCUGUCCUGUUGGCUUCACAGCUCUGUACAACACACAAAAAAACCAUUGAAAUGUACACUUUGUGGAAUGUGAACUGUAUCUUGAUAAAGCAGUUAGAAGACCUUCGAACAUAAGCAUGCGGCCUCAUGGGGCCUUUGCCUGGGCACCCUGGCACCUCUCCCAGGCUCUACCUAUCUCCGACUUCAUUCCUGAGCUCUUGAACAGGGAUUUGACUGCUCUGGAGACCUCCUGUAAGUGGAAUCCUACAGCAU
This 1912-nucleotide long non-coding RNA is filed under the name Homo sapiens (human). RNAcentral describes it as "HSALNT0171169". Lineage: Eukaryota; Metazoa; Chordata; Mammalia; Primates; Hominidae. The record is from RNAcentral.